GUGAAUCUGUAUAGCCAGCACAACUUGGAGGAUUUCAUUGUGUACAAGUGUUUCAGUUUACAGGAUGGAUUUAAUCUCCCUCAGGACAGAAACUGGGAGAACUCUUCUGGAGCAAGCAGACUGAAGAUGGUUUGGUCCAAAUACUGUGAUGAAGGCUGGAUUCAAAGGAAAAGCCCCUACUGGCCUCUGGAUCAGGAGAUGCAGGCUGCUUUUGAAGCUCAGCCACGGAGGAUAUGUGAGGGGAACACCCAAAUAUAAAGGUCUUGGGUCUGCAGUUCACAGUCAGGUAGUUGUACAGGAGCCA
Non-coding RNA from Lonchura striata (white-rumped munia), 304 nucleotides. Lineage: Eukaryota; Metazoa; Chordata; Aves; Passeriformes; Estrildidae. The record is from RefSeq and is a predicted model, not a curated record.